This 351-nucleotide long non-coding RNA is filed under the name Elaeis guineensis (African oil palm). RNAcentral describes it as "long non-coding RNA (EGUI_LNC021277)". Lineage: Eukaryota; Viridiplantae; Streptophyta; Magnoliopsida; Arecales; Arecaceae. The record is from RNAcentral.
CCCACUCAAGAGCAAUUUCAACUUUUUAUAUGAGGUAAAUGGUUUUACUAACUUCAUCAAUUUAACUCGAUGUAAGUAUAGAUUUUAGAAACUAUUAGGUGUAAGUGUAAUAAAUGAAAAUUUUGGAGGAAUUUUUGUAAUUUAAUUUAAAAUCAAUUAUAUAUUUUUAUUUAUUUGAAUGUAUGCCUAUAAUAAAAUAUGUAACUUAUGCAAAUUUAGGUCAAAUUCGAGCAUAAAAUCCUCAAAUCCAAAUCCAAUAUGAAAAUUUCAACAUAUUGAAAUAAGAAUAUUGAGAUCGAUAUAUGGUAAUACAAAAAAAGAUAGAAUAAGAAAGGAAGGUAUUUCUGAAAA